This 347-nucleotide long non-coding RNA is filed under the name Neodiprion lecontei (redheaded pine sawfly). RNAcentral's name for it is "uncharacterized LOC124293998". The record is from RNAcentral. Lineage: Eukaryota; Metazoa; Arthropoda; Insecta; Hymenoptera; Diprionidae.
UUGUAAAGACCUCUGAAAGUUGACUCACGACAUGUGUUACCGGGGAUGUUUUAAGAUGAAAUUUUUUGCAAUAAUAAACCUACGUUCAUCAGACUUCCAGCUUAUAAAUCAUACGAAUACCUAUAUCGAUUGCUCACGAGAGAUGUGGCGCGUGAUAAUCGGCAUCAAAGGAUUUCACCCUUCCAAUCCAAUACCCUAACGGACCUGUAGGCGAAGAAAAUGGUGGAGGACAGAGGCAAAGCUACUCACGAAUUCGGCAACGCAAAAGAGAUACUACCAUCAGCAGAGAAAUUACGAAGAAACGAUCAGAAGCAAAAAAAUGACAAAAGAAAGUCUUUCAUUUUUGG